CCAUGUGCUUAAGGGUUGGAAACAGUGGUCUCAGGAGGAGGAAGGGAGCGAAGGUGAUGGCAGACUCUCCUCUUAAGUGUGACAGAGCCUCACAUGUCAAGGUUAAACAGCUUGGACUUCUAUAUAAUUGACCUGACCCCUCGGGCCUGGAGAUAAAUGUUAACAGAGCAUACAUGCUGACUGAGAAACGUCUGAGCUGCUGAGGAAGACCAUGGCGAUAAUUCUCCUUCACUUUCCAGCACAAUCCAGACUCCAUCAGAAUUGGAGGGACACUGGCCUGAUGAGAGAUUCCUCAGUCCUGGGAAGACCUGCAGAACACUUGGCAUCAACCAGCAAAAACAUUUUUAAAAAGAGUAGUGCUUCAUAGAACACAGAUAAAAUCCUAUUAACCACAGAUACUACAAAUGACUUUUAUGAACUUGUGACUUUCCAUUGUGGAUGAUUUUCUUAUGCAGGCAUAACAUCUGUUGAUGGCCUCAGAAAUCGUUCUAUCCCCCUCUCCCCUCUCCCUUGCCGAAGCUGGACGGUACUGCUGCCAUCUCAGCUCACUGCAACCUCCCUGCCUGA
This 567-nucleotide long non-coding RNA is filed under the name Homo sapiens (human). RNAcentral's name for it is "HSALNT0301221". Lineage: Eukaryota; Metazoa; Chordata; Mammalia; Primates; Hominidae. The record is from RNAcentral.